Molecule: ribosomal RNA, 408 nt
Filed under: uncultured microorganism
Description: bacterial SSU rRNA
Rfam family: Archaeal small subunit ribosomal RNA
Source: RNAcentral
GUGCAGCAGUCGCGAAACUUUACAAUGUGCGAAAGCACGAUAAGGGAACUCUGAGUGCCUCCUAAGGAGGCUGUUCAGGUGUCUAAAAGCACCUGAAGGAAGGGCUGGGUAAGACCGGUGCCAGCCGCCGCGGUAACACCGGCAGCCCAAGUGGUAGCCACGUUUAUUGGGUCUAAAGCGUCCGUAGCCGGCUGGGUAAGUUCCUUGGGAAAUUUGGCUGCUUAACAGUCAAGCUUUCAGGGAAUACUGCUCGGCUUGGGACCGGGAGAGGUCAGAGGUACUCCAGGGGUAGGGGUGAAAUCCAUUAAUCCUUGGGGGACCACCGGUAGCGAAGGCGUCUGACCAGACCGGGUCCGACGGUGAGGGACGAAGGCUAGGGGCGCGAACCGGAUUAGAUACCCCCGUAGU